This 253-nucleotide ribosomal RNA is filed under the name uncultured bacterium. RNAcentral's name for it is "partial 16S ribosomal RNA". It matches the Rfam family "Bacterial small subunit ribosomal RNA", at positions 524 to 776 of the family's 1533-position model. The record is from RNAcentral.
UACGGAGGGUGCAAACGUUGCUCGGAAUCAUUGGGCGUAAAGCGCACGUAGGCGGCCGAAUAAGUCGGGUGUGAAAGCCCUGGGCUCAACCCAGGAAGUGCACUCGAAACUGCUCGGCUUGAAUAUGGAAGAGGGUUGCGGAAUUCCCGGUGUAGAGGUGAAAUUCGUAGAUAUCGGGAGGAACACCAGUGGCGAAGGCGGCAACCUGGGCCAAUAUUGACGCUGAGGUGCGAAAGCGUGGGGAGCAAACAGG